AGUCUGCUUUAAUGGGGCUUCGUUCCUUCAGAUUCACAAGGUACUGUCGUCACUACGAAUGGCAUCCAUCUGUACCUGCACAUUCAACCACCAUCAAAGCUUCUUCCUACAACCAACCAUUCUUUGGCAAUGGAGGGCAGAGCAGCAGCAGAUCAUUCAGCUGGCCAAACAAUGCCAUAAACCAAUCACAUUAGGAGGCGACAUGCGAGCUGAUUCUCCCGGACAUUGCGGUAAGUACGGCUCAUACACUACAAUGGUUCUUGAUUGCAACAAGGUUGUGGACAUUCAAUUAGUCCAGAGUAAUGAGGUCGGAAACAGACAGAGAAUGGAGAGGGAGGGCUUUGAAAGAAGCCUUCAUUUUCUUGAGUCGGAGGGGUUGGACAUUGGAGCCAUAGUGACUGAUCGCCACCCAUCGAUUGGGAAGUUCAUGAGGGAGCAAAGACCUUCCAUCCAAGACAUCAAUUGUCAAUCACAUGCACAAUGUGCACCAGCACAACAAUGAGUUGUACCCCAAAUGCCCCCACCCACCUCUUGAAAGAGAAUGGCUGCAGCCACAUACUAAAGCAUCUGAGAGACUGUGUGACAUCCUGCAGUCACCUCGUCUCCUUAAAGACAUAG
Molecule: long non-coding RNA, 618 nt
Organism: Engraulis encrasicolus (European anchovy)
Lineage: Eukaryota; Metazoa; Chordata; Actinopteri; Clupeiformes; Engraulidae
Exons: 5
Source: RefSeq, a predicted model, not a curated record